Molecule: unclassified non-coding RNA, 36 nt
Filed under: Mesorhizobium prunaredense
Lineage: Bacteria; Pseudomonadati; Pseudomonadota; Alphaproteobacteria; Hyphomicrobiales; Phyllobacteriaceae
Description: p27_CRE
Source: RNAcentral
CGAGGAGACCGAUGCUGGCGAGCGCGUAGAGGAGCC